This is a non-coding RNA of Emericellopsis atlantica, 108 nucleotides long. Lineage: Eukaryota; Fungi; Ascomycota; Sordariomycetes; Hypocreales; Bionectriaceae. The record is from the annotation of a RefSeq genome assembly.
GGCAUGGUGCCAGAGUGGUUAAUGGGUAUGACUCGAAGACUUCUAUCAUAUGCAGUCAUCAGUAAUCAUAUGGCUUCGGCCGCAGCGGUUCAAAUCCGCUCCAUGUCG